GUUCCAAGAAGAGAUACAAACGGUAAUUUUGAUGCUUCUAGUUUCUUUUGCAAUGUGCCAAUGUGGUGAUAUUUUAUGCACAACCCUCAUUUAUUUUAUUUUUGAGUUUUGAUAUAGAAAAUAAAAUAAUAUUAUUGGUGUGAACUCUCAAAUACUCUUGGCACAAACAAUUACUUACAUCUGCACAUUUUUGGUGGCUUCAAUUUCUUGCUAGUAUGAUUAUAUUUUCUGGAUUUCAUUUUCAGAGGUUUUAACAAAAGAUAGAAUCACAUUUGUUUUAACAAAAGUCUGAAAUAUUGUAGUUAAAAUCAAUUGCAUCUUCACGCAUGUCUUUCUUUCCCAAUAUUACUUGUAUCCUUAUGGAAUGAUGCUGUAUUACUUGACGCUUUUGGGAGCACAUGCACAUGCAUAUAUUAGACGAUUUGUAUAUCACUAAAUCUAAAUAUCUAUUCUGUUAUCGUUUGUGAUAUAUCAAUUGAGAAAGAAAAGAGCCUUUUUUAUUUCUAAUGUUUAUACUCAUGAAAUUGAAAUUUUCCAGCUUAACCACAUUGGUCAAAAGUUGACAUAGACUACUUUACCUGGCUAUAUUAACUUGUAAGCAUAUGGAAUCUUUAUGUGAAAGUUGCUUAUGCUUGGUUGAACUGCAAGAUUUUCUUGCAUAAUAGCUUUAUGCAUUCAAUUUCAUUAGCUUGUUUUUCUUUUAAUU
This 706-nucleotide unclassified non-coding RNA is filed under the name Hevea brasiliensis (rubber tree). Lineage: Eukaryota; Viridiplantae; Streptophyta; Magnoliopsida; Malpighiales; Euphorbiaceae. The record is from RNAcentral.